GAUGAACGCUGGCGGCGUGCCUAAUACAUGCAAGUCGAGCGAACAGACGAGGAGCUUGCUGCUCUGACGUUAGCGGCGGACGGGUGAGUAACACGUGGAUAACCUACCUAUAAGACUGGUAAAACUUCGGGAAACCGGAGCAAAUACCGGAUAAUAUACUGCACCGCAGGGUUCAAUAGUGAAAGUCGGUUUUGCUGUCACUUAUAGCUGGAUCCGCGCGGCAUUAGCUAGUUGGUAAGGUAAAGGGUUAUCAAGGCGACGAUGCGUAGCCGAACUGCGUGGCGGAUAGGCCACCUGAGAGCGUGAACACGGUCAAGGCUACUACGGGAGGGAGCAGAAUGCUAUGUGCCGCAAUAGGGGAGAGUUUUACAGAGUGACGGCGCGUGAGUUGUAGAGGUCCUGGGAUCGUAAAACUCUGUUAUGAGUGAAGAACAAAUGUGUAAGUUACUAUAGCCUGCUUGACGGUAACUAAUCAGAAAGCAACGGCUAACUACGUG
Molecule: ribosomal RNA, 497 nt
Filed under: uncultured bacterium
Lineage: Bacteria
Description: partial 16S ribosomal RNA
Rfam family: Bacterial small subunit ribosomal RNA
Source: RNAcentral